Small nuclear RNA from Camelus dromedarius (Arabian camel), 105 nucleotides. NCBI's taxonomy places the organism in Eukaryota, Metazoa, Chordata, Mammalia, Artiodactyla, Camelidae. The record is from Ensembl.
GGGCUUGUCUCAGCAGCACAUAUACCAAAAUUGAAAUGACACAGAGAGGAUUAGCAUGGCCUCCAUGCAAGGAUGCCACACACUCGAGAAUUGUUCCAUAUUUUG